Molecule: ribosomal RNA, 429 nt
Filed under: Chloroflexota bacterium
Lineage: Bacteria; Bacillati; Chloroflexota
Description: Chloroflexi bacterium partial 16S ribosomal RNA
Rfam family: Bacterial small subunit ribosomal RNA
Source: RNAcentral
UGGGGAAUAUUGCACAAUGGGCGCAAGCCUGAUGCAGCCAUGCCGCGUGUGUGAAGAAGGCCUUCGGGUUGUAAAGCACUUUCAGCGGGGAGGAAGGCGAUAAGGUUAAUAACCUUGUCGAUUGACGUUACCCGCAGAAGAAGCACCGGCUAACUCCGUGCCAGCAGCCACGGUAAUACGGAGGGUGCAAGCGUUAAUCGGAAUUACUGGGCGUAAAGCGCACGCAGGCGGUCUGUCAAGUCGGAUGUGAAAUCCCCGGGCUCAACCUGGGAACUGCAUUCGAAACUGGCAGGCUAGAGUCUUGUAGAGGGGGGUAGAAUUCCAGGUGUAGCGGUGAAAUGCGUAGAGAUCUGGAGGAAUACCGGUGGCGAAGGCGGCCCCCUGGACAAAGACUGACGCUCAGGUGCGAAAGCGUGGGGAGCAAACAGG